Small nuclear RNA from Suncus etruscus (white-toothed pygmy shrew), 103 nucleotides. Lineage: Eukaryota; Metazoa; Chordata; Mammalia; Eulipotyphla; Soricidae. The record is from RefSeq and is a predicted model, not a curated record.
GUCCUACUCAGUUUAGCAGCACACGUACUAAAAUUGGAACGAUACAGAGAAGAUUAGCAUGGCCCCUGCGCAAGGAUGACAUUCAAAAAUGCUAUUCUAUUUU